RNAcentral lists this ribosomal RNA (301 nucleotides) under uncultured bacterium. RNAcentral describes it as "partial 16S ribosomal RNA". It matches the Rfam family "Bacterial small subunit ribosomal RNA", at positions 509 to 807 of the family's 1533-position model. The record is from RNAcentral.
CAGCCGCCGCGGUAAUACGAAGGGUGCAAGCGUUACUCGGAAUUACUGGGCGUAAAGCGUGCGUAGGUGGUUGUUUAAGUCUGUUGUGAAAGCCCUGGGCUCAACCUGGGAAUUGCAGUGGAUACUGGGCAACUAGAGUGUGGUAGAGGGUAGUGGAAUUCCCGGUGUAGCAGUGAAAUGCAUAGAGAUCGGGAGGAACAUCCAUGGCGAAGGCAGCUACCUGGACCAACACUGACACUGAGGCACGAAAGCGUGGGGAGCAAACAGGAUUAGAUACCCCCGUAGUCCCUGUCUCUUAUAC